Long non-coding RNA from Mustela erminea (ermine), 642 nucleotides. RefSeq lists it as uncharacterized. The record is from RefSeq and is a predicted model, not a curated record. NCBI's taxonomy places the organism in Eukaryota, Metazoa, Chordata, Mammalia, Carnivora, Mustelidae. The transcript is spliced from 3 exons.
GCACCUUUAACACUGGCCCACAACCCAAAGAAAACUCCUGGAUAGAUUCCGUCUAGAGAAAGGCCAAGAAAGCCAGCAAGGUCUAAAACCGAUUCUUCAGACUUGCUUAUAGCAACCUGCGAGGGCUGACCUUGUGGCCAGGUUGCAAGGAUGGGAUAGAAUAACAACAGAUGAGAAAGCUCUUUGCCGUGUUGCAGGCAGUUUGUGAAGAGAUCAGAGUCUGCUUGAAAAUUCAAUGUUCCUUUGGAGCCCAAAGUAUUUAAAAUGCCCAGAGGAAAAGGAGGUGUAGAUCUGGUUAGCUCUGGUACUGACCCUCCCUGGCACUGUGGACACGGAGCAGGGAAAGUGUCACUUCUGGUCACCAUAGCCUUUUCCCACCCCACUUAAACAGCAUGGCUGUCCUGUGUCUUAUUCAGCUGUGUUGACAAGGUCCCUGCAAAACAUCUCAUGGUACUCCAUCCGCUAGCCCAGAAGACGCUGGCAUUCCUGAAUACCUUGGCAUCAGGAAUAUCUUUCAACUCCUUUUCCUUGGGUCUAAUAUCAGUUAAGCGGAAUAAUAGAAAAUUCCGUAAAUCCAACAUAUUCACUGGGGGAAAGUGAAAGGAAAACUUUCUAAGAAAAAACAAUGAAUUACAUAUUAUC